Molecule: non-coding RNA, 26 nt
Filed under: Homo sapiens (human)
Lineage: Eukaryota; Metazoa; Chordata; Mammalia; Primates; Hominidae
Source: RNAcentral
UUGUGUUUUACCCUGUGAGAAGGACA